RNAcentral lists this transfer RNA (89 nucleotides) under Mycobacterium basiliense. Its description in RNAcentral is "tRNA-Gly". Lineage: Bacteria; Bacillati; Actinomycetota; Actinomycetes; Mycobacteriales; Mycobacteriaceae. The record is from RNAcentral.
GUGCCGGCGUGGCCGGCGUUGCCGCCGUGCCCGCCGUUGCCGCCGGAGGGGGCGGUGGUCCCGCCGGUCCCGGUGUCGGCGCCGGCGUG